RNAcentral lists this ribosomal RNA (253 nucleotides) under uncultured bacterium. RNAcentral describes it as "partial 16S ribosomal RNA". It matches the Rfam family "Bacterial small subunit ribosomal RNA", at positions 524 to 776 of the family's 1533-position model. The record is from RNAcentral.
UACGUAGGGGGCAAGCGUUGUCCGGAAUCAUUGGGCGUAAAGGGCGCGUAGGCGGCUUUGUGCGUCGCACGUGAAAGCCCCUGGCUUAACCAGGGAGGGUCGUGUGAAACGGCGAAGCUGGAGGCAGAGAGAGGCUGGUGGAAUUCCCGGAGUAGUGGUGAAAUGCGUAGAUAUCGGGAGGAACACCGGUGGCGAAGGCGGCCAGCUGGCUCUGACCUGACGCUGAGGCGCGAAGGCGUGGGGAGCGAACGGG